CACAUAGAGCAAAGCAUAUCCGGAACUAGUUUUGAAGCGGAAUUUCUGGUGUUGGUAUCUAUUUUUGAACCUCUAUUUCCCUUCAUUUCCAUUUUUGAUGCUUGAAUGUGAACUGGGUGUUUGAUUUAAUGAGUUUUUUAUUUUCGAAAGUAAGUGUUUGAUUUUUUUUUAAAUGAGAUGAAUCUUCUUUUGAAGUUGGCAUGAAACUUUUCUUUCAAACUGAAUGUAUGAUUCUUCAUGGUGAUAUGGUUGAUGUCGAACAUACAUGAGGCUUUUU
RNAcentral lists this long non-coding RNA (277 nucleotides) under Lathyrus oleraceus (garden pea). RNAcentral's name for it is "Pisum sativum (pea) long non-coding RNA (PSAT_LNC011071)". The record is from RNAcentral. Lineage: Eukaryota; Viridiplantae; Streptophyta; Magnoliopsida; Fabales; Fabaceae.